GGAAGGGAUACAUGCCCGGUGGCAUGUCCGGACUUCAAAUCCGGGAGGGGCUGACAGACGGUCUUUGGUGGGUUCGACUCCCAUUCUCUUCCGCCA
Molecule: transfer RNA, 96 nt
Filed under: Brucella daejeonensis
Lineage: Bacteria; Pseudomonadati; Pseudomonadota; Alphaproteobacteria; Hyphomicrobiales; Brucellaceae
Description: Ochrobactrum daejeonense tRNA-Sec
Rfam family: Selenocysteine transfer RNA
Source: RNAcentral